Molecule: ribosomal RNA, 756 nt
Filed under: uncultured bacterium
Lineage: Bacteria
Description: bacterial SSU rRNA
Rfam family: Bacterial small subunit ribosomal RNA
Source: RNAcentral
AGAGUUUGAUCAUGGCUCAGAAUCAACGCUGGCGGCGCGCCUAACACAUGCAAGUCGAACGAGAAAGUGGAGCAAUCCAUGAGUAAAGUGGCGUACGGGUGAGUAACACGUGGAUAACCUGCCCUCUAGUGGGGAAUACCGUUGGGAAACCGACGACAAUACCGCAUAAGCUCGAGAGAGGAAAGCAGCAAUGCGCUGGAGGAGGGGUCCGCGGCCGAUUAGCUUGUUGGUAGGGUAAUGGCCUACCAAGGCUUUGAUCGGUAGCCGGCCUGAGAGGGCACACGGCCACACUGGCACUGAAACACGGGCCAGACUCCUACGGGAGGCAGCAGUGGGGAAUCUUGCACAAUGGGGGAAACCCUGAUGCAGCGACGCCGCGUGAGCGAUGAAGCCCUUCGGGGUGUAAAGCUCUUUCGGCAGGGAAGAUUAUGACGGUACCUGCAGAAGCAGCUGCGGCUAACUACGUGCCAGCAGCCGCGGUAAUACGUAGGCAGCAAGCGUUGUUCGGAGUUACUGGGCGUAAAGGGUGCGCAGGCGGUCCUGUAAGUAUGGUGUGAAAUCUCCCGGCUUAACUGGGAGGGUGCGCUAUAAACUGCGGGACUAGAGUGUGGGAGAGGAAAGUGGAAUUCCUGGUGUAGCGGUGAAAUGCGUAGAUAUCAGGAGGAACACCGGUGGUGUAAACGGCUUUCUGGACCAUAACUGACGCUGAGGCACGAAAGCGUGGGUAGCAAACAGGAUUAGAUACCCCCGUAGUCC